Molecule: RNA transcript, 1642 nt
Organism: Lolium perenne
Lineage: Eukaryota; Viridiplantae; Streptophyta; Magnoliopsida; Poales; Poaceae
Source: RefSeq, a predicted model, not a curated record
GAGCACCUCUCGCUGGACAUUGGGCUACGAUGGCUUCCAGCCGCAGACGAUGUCGUGCCACGGCGGGAGCAACGACCAAAGGGAGCCUACUCGAGGAAUUCCUGAUGCAACCGGAGCGCGGCCUCGAGUGCGUCGGCGUCGGCGGCGGAGGAAGCUACUACGCGGGCACCGUCGACGAGACGCAUGCGUUGGGCGCACAAAUUCCAUCCGAGAUAAUUGAGGUAGAAGCAACACUGCAGAUUGAUUAGUCUACAAACCAUGACAAAGUUUUUCAGUAUCCCUAUUCAUUUGUAGUCAGACAAUGAAUCGUUCAGCCUUUGUAUCUCGCAGAGAAUUGAGGCAGGAGCAGGACAAGAGAUGGCAGCAAUCACUGAAGUCAAGUCAUCUGUUUCUAUGGAUGUCGAGAAAAGUAAGGAAGUAUCAGGAAAAAAUAAUAUGUCAGCCAGCAAGUAACCUGUUUCUACGGAUGAGGAGGAAAUGGAUCUCAACAUCGAAUCAACCAAUGUUGAUGAUUUUGAUAAUAGGCCUCUAAAAAAGGCCAAAAGUUCUAAAACAUGUGUUUCAGAUGAUCCAUUGUCAUCUUUUACCAUCUCCACUGCAUCUAUCGCUCCGAAAUGUUCUGACUCUGUUAGUUUAGAAUUGAAUGUUAGUUUAGAAUUGAUGAAUGAAGAUCCAUUGCCUCCAUCACCAAACCAACUGGCCUUAUCUCCGGUUUCAGCGGAAGAUGAUAAUCAUAUAACAAAUAAUUUAACAUACGAGUAUCUCCCAUAAGGUAAAAUAUUGCAUUGUUUAUGUUUGUGUAUUUAUUCGACAUAUUUAGCGAGGAGCUCGUAAUGGUUUUGUUGGGAUUGAUUAUGUAGGUUGUGAAUAAACAAAUACGUGACCAAUAUAUUGGUUUCUCCCGGUGCAACGCACAUGCACUUUUGCUAGUCUUAUCUAACAUCUUGUCGUGUUACAUUUUCUGUUUUCCACUUGAACUACGAUUCACUGGCGGAGCUUCGUGAGGGCAGAACUGGGCCACGGCCCACCCUGCCCUGGAGCGGAAAAAAAUCCUAUACCUAUGCCGCAUGUGCAAAGCCCACAUCCACACCACGUGAGAGCCGAGUAGCACUUCGUUUCCAGAGACCAGACCAGUCCGUCGCUUGGUUUCGUGUUCCUCCACGAUGCAUCACAUCCCCAAUUCCCCAUCGACGGCGCUAGUUCCAGCGACGAAAAUAGCAGCUGGGCCAUCGACCGGCGACCAUCCCAUCCAUCAGGCAGAAGCGAAGGAAAUGUUUGAUGAAGGAAAUAUUUGAGAUAACUGAAUUGCUUGGCCAAGCUUUACAGAAGAAGUCACAAGAUAUUGUGAAUGCUAUUCGUCUAGUGUCAUCAACAAAAGAGUGUCUCGAGCAAUUGAGAUCAGAUGAUGGUUAUGAAGAAUUUAUUGUCAUGGUUAUUGAAUUUUGUGGAAAGCAUUCGAUUGAGAUUCCUAACUUUGACGAAAUUUAUGUCAUGCGGGGUGGUCGUGCUCGCCAUCAACACGAUCAGCUUACCAAGGAACAGUACUUACGAGUGGAAAUAUUUCGUGCAACACUGGACACUCAACUAUUUGAAAUCAACCGCAGUUCAAUGAGAAGGUUUUUCUUUCAAGCUCCGCCACUGC